UACUCUCUUCGUAACUCAACAACUCAAUAGAUGCCUACAUCUCGACUCCUCUCCCACAUUGAAAAAAACUCUUCGCCACUACCAUAAUUGAAAGCAAUGAAUGCCAUCAAUGUAAAUUUCCUAAUUAAAAUAAUUUCCUCCUCUGCCCUCGAGAAAGAAACCUAAUCGACUGAUCGAUCGACAUCCUCAAAAUCAAAGCAUUCUUCACAUGAUUGAAUGCUUCAGUUUCUUUACAUCAACCGUCGCCCCAUUCAUUCAAUUUAAUUAGGAAUUCUGAAGAUUUUCGUCUUUGUUUUUCUCUUCUCAAAACCACCCGUUGCCUUACAUCACGAAUUAGGUCAGUCGAUGAUGAAGACGCGGUUAGUGAUGUCGCAAAUGAAGAUGAAAGCCUUUUAAGAUUGUUACAUUCCAACAAAAAAAUACUAAAAUUUACAACAUUGAAAGUUGAUGCAUCAUUGCAACAAAGCAUUAGAGAAAAAACUAAACCAUCCAAUCGAUUGCAACAAUCAAGAAAUAUGACUAUGGGUUGGGAAGUGCUGAUUAUGUUCUUAUAUUUUUAUUAUUUAGAGGUGGUAAUUUUGACCCUUGUGCUUUUCAGUUGGUUAAAUUGGGCAGUGGAUGAUGGAAAAUAGUGUAUAGUUAAAACACACGGAGCUCCUUUUUUUCUUGGUUUUGCAAUUAUCCUCUAUGUACUACACUGUUUUCAAUCAUUCAACUAUGGAGGCAUCAAUUUUGACCCGUUUACAAAUAGUAUGGCAUAUGGGUCGGGAUUUGGGGUUGCUUUUAUCUCAAACAAGUCAAAAAAGAAAAAUGAGCUAUAUGGGAAAUGAGCUAUAUCUUCACUUGAAAACGGGCAAUCUCCAAGUUGGGUCCAGAGCACCCGACAUGUCAGUGUGCUUUCAACACCUUCGGUUGACAUUAACCAAUCUGCAGAGGAGAAAACAAAAUCUGAAGAACCCGAAUCUUCAAAUGUCAAUGAAUCGAGCUCAUCUCACAAGCAGCUCAUUCAACAUCCAGGGAAUACUUCAGUCGCUGGGAAGAGUUUUAGAGUUUUGAAGAAGAUGCGAUUUAUGCCUUCAUCCUUCUAAUUCUCAUAGAUUGUUGACUGCACUUGUUGACUCACAGCAUAAAAAGGUAGGGUCAAAAAAACUGUCACUGACAUUGACCCUGAGAGGGAGAAGGAGCAAAAGGAGAAGGACGAUGAACAAGAUUAUUACGAUUCUUGGUGUUCUGGUGCUCGACGCCACUUUGAAGAAGACUUGGAAAUGGAAGCUCGGACCGAAAAACGUAUUAUAAAUGCCAAGAAGCAUAAAGCUUCUGGAGGCAGUCUCAAGAGCCAUGAGAUUGAAUCAGAUGAGGAGUCUCCCCAAGAAAGGCAGCUGCCGCAUCUCAUCGUCGAAAGGCACUUGUUUAUGAUAGCGAAGAGUAAAAUAUAUGCGAGUUGGUAAGUAAACGUCAUCUAUUCAAAAAAUUUAUGUUUUAUAUAUUGCAUUAGUAGAGCUCUAAUGAAAUUAUAGUUUGACCGUAUUUAGAUUUUGUAAAAUUCUGAAUUCUAAAUUAUUGUUGGAAUUAUCGGGAUUGAUCUCGGGACUACGUAUUCAUGUGUUGGUAGUGAUUUGCAUAUUAAAGUGAUCCUUAUAA
Helianthus annuus (common sunflower) is the source of this 1641-nucleotide long non-coding RNA. RefSeq lists it as uncharacterized. Lineage: Eukaryota; Viridiplantae; Streptophyta; Magnoliopsida; Asterales; Asteraceae. The record is from RefSeq and is a predicted model, not a curated record. The transcript is spliced from 7 exons.